This is a non-coding RNA of Triticum urartu, 134 nucleotides long. The record is from Rfam. NCBI's taxonomy places the organism in Eukaryota, Viridiplantae, Streptophyta, Magnoliopsida, Poales, Poaceae.
CAAAUACAUCCUCCGUCUUAAAAUUCUUGUCUUAUAUUUGUUAGAUACAGAUGUAUCAAGUCACGUUUUAGUAUUAGAUACAUCUGUAUCUACACAAAUUUAAGACAAGAAUUUUGGGACGGAGGGAGUACAAG